GGGCGUUAAGUUGCAGGGUAUAGACCCGAAACCCGGUGAUCUAGCCAUGGGCAGGUUGAAGGUUGGGUAACACUAACUGGAGGACCGAACCGACUAAUGUUGAAAAAUUAGCGGAUGACCUGUGGCUGGGGGUGAAAGGCCAAUCAAACCGGGAGAUAGCUGGUUCUCCCCGAAAGCUAUUUAGGUAGCGCCUCGUGAACUCAUCUCCGGGGGUAGAGCACUGUUUCGGCUAGGGGGCCAUCCCGGCUUACCAACCCGAUGCAAACUGCGAAUACCGGAGAAUGUUAUCACGGGAGACACACGGCGGGUGCUAACGUCCGUCGUGAAGAGGGAAACAACCCAGACCGCCAGCUAAGGUCCCAAAGUCAUGGUUAAGUGGGAAACGAUGUGGGAAGGCCCAGACAGCCAGGAUGUUGGCUUAGAAGCAGCCAUCAUUUAAAGAAAGCGUAAUAGCUCACUGGUCGAGUCGGCCUGCGCGGAAGAUGUAACGGGGCUAAACCAUGCACCGAAGCUGCGGCAGCGACGCUGUGCGUUGUUGGGUAGGGGAGCGUUCUGUAAGCCUGUGAAGGUGGCCUGUGAGGGUUGCUGGAGGUAUCAGAAGUGCGAAUGCUGACAUAAGUAACGAUAAAGCGGGUGAAAAG
Molecule: ribosomal RNA, 641 nt
Filed under: Salmonella enterica
Lineage: Bacteria; Pseudomonadati; Pseudomonadota; Gammaproteobacteria; Enterobacterales; Enterobacteriaceae
Also listed under: 1 other name
Description: bacterial LSU rRNA
Rfam family: Bacterial large subunit ribosomal RNA
Source: RNAcentral